AACGAACGCUGGCGGCAUGCCUAACACAUGCAAGUCGAACGAGACCUUCGGGUCUAGUGGCGCACGGGUGCGUAACGCGUGGGAACCUGCCCUUAGGUUCGGAAUAACUCCCCGAAAGGGGUGCUAAUACCGGAUAAUGUCUUCGGACCAAAGAUUUAUCGCCUUUGGAUGGGCCCGCGUUGGAUUAGCUAGUUGGUAGGGUAAAAGCCUACCAAGGCGACGAUCCAUAGCUGGUCUGAGAGGAUGAUCAGCCACACUGGGACUGAGACACGGCCCAGACCCCUACGGGAGGCAGCAGGGGGGAAUAUUGGAAAAGGGGCGAAAGCUUGACCCAGCAAUGCCGGGUGAGGGAUGAAGGCCUUAGGGUUGUAAAGCUCUUUUACCCGGGAUGAUAAUGACAGGACCGGGGAAAUAAGCCCCGGCUAACCCCGU
Molecule: ribosomal RNA, 432 nt
Filed under: uncultured bacterium
Lineage: Bacteria
Description: partial 16S ribosomal RNA
Rfam family: Bacterial small subunit ribosomal RNA
Source: RNAcentral